This 262-nucleotide ribosomal RNA is filed under the name uncultured bacterium. Its description in RNAcentral is "partial 16S ribosomal RNA". It matches the Rfam family "Bacterial small subunit ribosomal RNA", at positions 793 to 1055 of the family's 1533-position model. The record is from RNAcentral.
GUCCAUGCCGUAAACGUUGGGCGCUAGGUGUGGGGCUCAUUCCACGAGUUCCGUGCCGCAGCUAACGCAUUAAGCGCCCCGCCUGGGGAGUACGGCCGCAAGGCUAAAACUCAAAGGAAUUGACGGGGGCCCGCACAAGCGGCGGAGCAUGCUGAUUAAUUCGAUGCAACGCGAAGAACCUUACCAAGGCUUGACAUACAGGGAAAACUGUCAGAGAUGGCAGGUCCGCAAGGGCCCUGUACAGGUGGUGCAUGGUUGUCGU